This 76-nucleotide transfer RNA is filed under the name Legionella sp. RNAcentral describes it as "tRNA-Asn". It matches the Rfam family "tRNA". Rfam says of the family: Transfer RNA (tRNA) molecules are approximately 80 nucleotides in length. Lineage: Bacteria; Pseudomonadati; Pseudomonadota; Gammaproteobacteria; Legionellales; Legionellaceae. RNAcentral also lists the same sequence under 2 other names. The record is from RNAcentral.
UCCCUGGUAGCUCAGUCGGUAGAGCGGAUGACUGUUAAUCAUUAGGUCGGCGGUUCGAGCCCGUCCCAGGGAGCCA